UCUUGUUUGUGAAAGAUCAUUAUUUUACUAAGAAAUUGCUGUUAUGUCCAAAACAACCACAUUGGCAUAAAACAAAUGAGUGUACUGAUUUGACAGCCUUAAAAAAAUGUAUUCCUACUUGGUAUCACGUUCGCUCUAGAUCUAGCUUGGAGACAAUACAUGUCACCAAUUUAGGUGCCACUGCCUAGGCUCUCCUUUUGUUGGACCAUCUCUGUUCUUCUUCUAUUUAUAGAUAUCUCUCUCUCGUGAUGGGAACAGUAGGAUGACGCAGAGAGGGGGUUCAGAAGUUUUUUUUAACACAACACACCCCUAACAAUAAUUGCUGGAGCAGGCUUUGUUGCUUCUAUCCUUUGUCCUGUGUCUGAGGCAUUUGUGGGAGCAUCGUUGUGUUCCGGUGACUGAGACAGAGACAAAGGCAGGCCAGCAGCCAUGGAUGAUGUAUACAAAGCAGCGGUUGAGAACUUAACAGAAGAGCAGAGAAAUGAGUUCAAGGCAGCCUUCGACAUUGCAACAUUAAGACACCAUGUUACAGCUGCUGUGUCUGUGUGUGUGUGUGUGUGUGUGUGUGUGUGUGUGUGUGUGUGUGUGUGUGUGUGUGUGU
Molecule: long non-coding RNA, 601 nt
Organism: Coregonus clupeaformis (lake whitefish)
Lineage: Eukaryota; Metazoa; Chordata; Actinopteri; Salmoniformes; Salmonidae
Exons: 3
Source: RefSeq, a predicted model, not a curated record